RNAcentral lists this long non-coding RNA (626 nucleotides) under Homo sapiens (human). RNAcentral describes it as "HSALNT0333022". The record is from RNAcentral. Lineage: Eukaryota; Metazoa; Chordata; Mammalia; Primates; Hominidae.
CUUUUCCACUCUUUUAUUUUCUCCAUUUUCUCCCUGUAUUUAAUUUGAAUAUUUUCGAUUGACUUGUCUUUAGAUUUCCUAAUCCUGUCUGCUGUGGUUUGAAUGUGUUCUACAAAGUUCAUGUGUUAAAAAUGUAAUCCCCAAUCCAACAGUGCUGAGAGAUAGACCUUUAAGAGGUGAUUAGGUCAUAAAGGCUCUGCCCUCAUAAAUGGAUUAAUGUCAUUAUCAUGGGAUUGAGUUUGAUUUGGCCUUCUCUCACUCUCUCUUGAGAUUUCUUGCCUUUCUGUCUUCCAUGACAGGAUGAUAAAGCAAGAAAGGCCUCAUCAGGUGCCAAGACCUUGAUAUUGGACUUCCCAGCCUCCAGAGCUAGGCCAAGGUGGGCGGAUCACUUGAGGUCAGGAGUUGAAGACCAGCCGGGUCAACAUGGUGAAACCCUCUCUCUACAAAAAUACAAAAAUUAGCCAGGCAUGGCGGCAGGUAAUCCCAGCAACUCCAGAGGCUGAAGUGGGAGAAUCUCUUAAACCCAGGAGGCAGAAAUUGCCAUGAGCCGAGAUCACGCCACUGCCCUCCAGCCUGGGUGACAGGGCAAGACUCUGUCUCAAAAUAAAUAAAUAAAUAUUACCAAG